CGGCUUGCAGGUGCACCCCUGAUAAGAUCAAGGGGACCUCAGCACUGCAGGAGAGCGGGGCAGAGCUUCGUGAGCGAGCUGGCGGGAGAGCCAGCCUGCCUGUAAACAGCGCUGGGAGUGUAUUGACAUGGACAGAUAAUUGGUCCAUGAGGAUUCUUCUGACAGCAGCGAACAUAUCGUUCAGACGAGGAAAAACAGCAACAAAGAACCACCAAUAGCUCUUCAGCUAAGGACGGGAGUCCACGAGCCCCUCCCUUUUGGAUGUUAACCGGCUUGACCUUGGUCUUGUGCAUGCCAUACCAGC
Meriones unguiculatus (Mongolian gerbil) is the source of this 304-nucleotide long non-coding RNA. RefSeq lists it as uncharacterized. The record is from RefSeq and is a predicted model, not a curated record. NCBI's taxonomy places the organism in Eukaryota, Metazoa, Chordata, Mammalia, Rodentia, Muridae. The transcript has 3 exons.